RNAcentral lists this ribosomal RNA (565 nucleotides) under uncultured bacterium. Its description in RNAcentral is "partial 16S ribosomal RNA". It matches the Rfam family "Bacterial small subunit ribosomal RNA", at positions 355 to 912 of the family's 1533-position model. The record is from RNAcentral.
UGGGGAAUUUUGGACAAUGGGCGAAAGCCUGAUCCAGCAAUGCCGCGUGUGUGAAGAAGGCCUUCGGGUUGUAAAGCACUUUUGUCCGGAAAGAAAUCCUUGGCUCUAAUACAGUCGGGGGAUGACGGUACCGGAAGAAUAAGCACCGGCUAACUACGUGCCAGCAGCCGCGGUAAUACGUAGGGUGCAAGCGUUAAUCGGAAUUACUGGGCGUAAAGCGUGCGCAGGCGGUUUGCUAAGACCGAUGUGAAAUCCCCGGGCUCAACCUGGGAACUGCAUUGGUGACUGGGCAGGCUAGAGUAUGGCAGAGGGGGGUAGAAUUCCACGUGUAGCAGUGAAAUGCGUAGAGAUGUGGAGGAAUACCGAUGGCGAAGGCAGCCCCCUGGGCCAAUACUGACGCUCAUGCACGAAAGCGUGGGGAGCAAACAGGAUUAGAUACCCUGGUAGUCCACGCCCUAAACGAUGUCAACUAGUUGUUGGGGAUUCAUUUCCUUAGUAACGUAGCUAACGCGUGAAGUUGACCGCCUGGGGAGUACGGUCGCAAGAUUAAAACUCAAAGGAAUUG